GAUGACUAACGACAAUUUGAAUAAGCGGAAAGAAUAUUUAUAUUGUGUCGUUAGUAAUAAUUCGAGUAAAUAUAAAAUAAUUGCAGAAGAAGAAUAUGAUGAAAUCUGUAACAAUAUCAAUAUGAUAGUAAAUAAGAAAAUAAAUAAGAGUGAGGGAUAUGGACGAAUGAGAGUUGAUAAUUAUAUGUGUGGAUCCACAAACAAGUCAAAGGUGGGGAUUGUCAUAGAGAGUAAAUUUGAAUGUAAUCGGCACUGGCAAUCACUUAAUAUCUUGACGUACUACAGUUGACUAAAAUUGAAAAUUGCUAUUAAUUAAAUAUAAAAUUCGAAUUUUAAUAAUAAGGACAACGCUUUGAAAGCGGAGGUACCAAAAUAAAUCUAGAAAGCCACACCAUAAAUUGUGUGGUUUUCUUUGCGUAUCAAAAGUUGCGAGAACACGAUUUCCCAAUCCCUUCAAAUCGUUUUCUUAUGCUAUCGAGUUGGUUACGAGCAAUUGGAUACUUAAUUCCACCAGAUGAAGUGUCGGUGAACGACUCCACGUUGGAUUAUUGUGUCAUCCAUAUUGUCAGUUAGUAAAUCAAUCAGGCUGCAAUAAGUGAGUUUAUGCAAAAAUAUAUUGGAGAUUUAUUUAGAGAAAUUAAAUUGACAAAAUUAUAAAUAAAAGUCAACUUUAGUCAAAAUUAAAAUAAUUGUAUUGUGGACAUUUGUAUGUAGUGUGUGUAAAAAUAAGUAUGAAUGGUUUUUAGAGAUUAAUUUUAUGUAAUAUUUCGCGACGGACACUUAUAUAUAUAUAAAUUUAUGCUAGAUGAUUUGAAAGUUAAUAAAUGUUAUAUUCAUAUCAGAAUUGAAGUAUUUUGAUUAGUUAUCAUUUGUCAAUAAAAAUCGAAACGUAAUUUAAUGUUGAAAAUAAUAAUUAUAAUUGUGAAUAAAAUCUUCUUAACAUUUGCAAUAAUAAACUAUUAGACAAUUUUUGACUUGUAACAAAUCUUAAAAAUAAUGAUGGAAGUAAAGUUAAAUAGUCCAAAAACUAGUCGCCAAUAUAGGUCCGCGUUUGAAAUAUGCAAAAACAAUUUUAUUCAAGAAGAAGUAGUUAUCCACAAACUGAAACACUGUCCUUGCGAUCAAUCGCAACGCAGCAAUCUAAUACAACAGGCCAAGGAUUUUUCCGAUGCAAUUGUCUAACGUCCUGCAAAACGAAAAAAUGCUUAUGUAAAAAUAAAAGCGUGCUCUGUAUUUCGAAAUGUCAUAGUACAUCAACGUGUUUUUAACAAAUAAUACUUUCGAUAUAUUAUAAUUAUUUUUUCAUUUUAAAUAUAAAAAAUAAAACAGAAUAACUAUA
This is a long non-coding RNA of Leptopilina heterotoma, 1339 nucleotides long. RefSeq lists it as uncharacterized. The record is from RefSeq and is a predicted model, not a curated record. NCBI's taxonomy places the organism in Eukaryota, Metazoa, Arthropoda, Insecta, Hymenoptera, Figitidae. The transcript is spliced from 2 exons.